GGCCCGCACAAGCGGUGGAGCAUGUGGUUUAAUUCGACGCAACGCGAAGAACCUUACCAGCUCUUGACAUGCCUGUCGCGGGACAGAGAGAUCUGUCCCUUCAGUUCGGCUGGACAGUGCACAGGUGCUGCAUGGCUGUCGUCAGCUCGUGUCGUGAGAUGUUGGGUUAAGUCCCGCAACGAGCGCAACCCUCACCUUUAGUUGCCAUUGGUACGGCCGGGCACUCUAGAGGAACCGCCGGUGACAAGCCGGAGGAAGGCGGGGAUGACGUCAAGUCCUCAUGGCCCUUACGGGCUGGGGCUACACACGUGCUACAAUGGCGACUACAGAGGGAAGCAAUACGGCAACGUGGAGCCAAUCCCCAACAGUCGUCUCAGUUCGGAUUGUCCUCUGCAACUCGAGGGCAUGAAGUCGGAAUCGCUAGUAA
Molecule: ribosomal RNA, 427 nt
Filed under: uncultured bacterium
Lineage: Bacteria
Description: bacterial SSU rRNA
Rfam family: Bacterial small subunit ribosomal RNA
Source: RNAcentral